This is a long non-coding RNA of Mercurialis annua (annual mercury), 630 nucleotides long. RefSeq lists it as uncharacterized. The transcript has 3 exons. Lineage: Eukaryota; Viridiplantae; Streptophyta; Magnoliopsida; Malpighiales; Euphorbiaceae. The record is from RefSeq and is a predicted model, not a curated record.
UCCCCAAGCAAAUACAUUGCUUUCUCCAUUUGUGUGGGUGCCGAAUUCUCUCUAGACCAAAGCAUAACUUUUUAUUCUUUGAUUUUCUCACAAAAGUUCCUUAACCAAAAACGUGUCAAAUUUCCCGUAGAUUACUAAUCUCUAUUUGCAUGUUGGAUCAAGAUCCAGCGAGUUUUGUCGCGGAAACCGGCGAGCAAAGGUUUUGAAUAAUCAACGGGUGGUAUUUUUAUAUUUGGAAUAAGCGAGUACUGCGAGUAGUUUGACGUGUGGAUUUCCAAUUUCUUGUUCCGGAAAUCCCUAGCUUGAAUAAAGUGAGAAUGACUUUCCUUAUUGUGUCUAGAGUUGCAGUAGCUAGAAUAAUGAACGGUGAUAUCCUAGUAGUCGUUGGACUUGAUUAUGCUUUAUAUUUUAUAACGCUUAAACUCUGAUAUAAUAUGUAAUUUGUGAACGCUGUGCGAAAGUCCGAGCGACUGCACUUGAAUAAAAUGCGGCGAACGCAUCUGCAUAGUGAAAUGCAGUUAAGUCCAUCAGAGAAAUGGCCUGCAUAGUGAAAUGCAGUAAUUACCAUAGUAAAAUGGUAUGCACAUUGAGAUGCAUGAUAAACCAUAGAGAAAUGGUUUGAAACUAAAA